GUCCUGGCUGAGCUGGAUUACAUCAGUGCUCUAGUGGGUGGAGCAGACCCUGGGCUAACAGGCCAGGGGAAGAACUCCAAUGGCAUAUGCCAGCGUCUGUCAGCAUGCCUGUACUAGGUCACAAUAAUGGCUGCCACCAAUGUCUCAGCCCCUGGAGAGGUCUCACCUCUCAUUGACAGGCAUCCAGAGCCUAUCAGGCCUAAUCACGCAGAACGUAAAUCCCUCAACACAGAGGCAGCAGCGAGGGCUGGGGCGCGAUCUGCAGGACUGCUCACGUUCAUCUUCCGGCGCAUAAUGAAAUCAAGAAUGCGCAUCAGCUCACCAGAGCUGCUCUCCUCCAAAUUGUUAAGACAGUCCAUCUAGUCUUCCACUUUCUGCCACCCCAUUCCAGCUAUGAUAUCUCAACACUUUCAGUGGACAUGUCCUCUCUGAGGACUUCUCUGAGCUUCCGUUGUUUGCCCAGUGUUUUUCAGUGCUGGAGCUGGGAGAGACUUCAAAGAUCAUUCAUCAGGAGAUCUUCAGAGCACAUACUCACCAGGCACUAGUCAGGUACCAGGAAUUCAGGAUGAGAUAAGAAAUAAUCCUUUCUCUCAAGUGGGGAGCAAGUUCCAGCUCCUCAUUUUACAGAUGACAAACCAAUUUGGCAACAUUUCUCAGCAGAGCCAUCAUGAAAAGGAACAUAGAGGAAGUUAAUAUAUAAUGACAGCAAAGAAUUUCUUCAAGAUGGGCAGGAUCGUUCAUCCAUGCAAGCAUCUUUAUAACACUAUGUGUCAGGUACUGUUCUAAGUAUUUCGUAAACCUUCCAGACAACACUGUGAGGUAUGUAUACCAGUAUUAUCACAAUUUUACAGAUGUAGAAAGUGAAGAACAGAGAAAUUAAAUAAAUUAAAUAACCGUGUGCCUAAGGUCACGCAUCCAGUAAACAGCAGACCUGAGAUUCUAACCCAAACAAUCUGGUUCCAUAGACCCGGUAUAUAACCACUACACUGAGGGACAGAAUCUUCUGGCUUUCCUUUAAACUGGAAUUUGACUCAGUGAAAUAGGCCUAGGAAAAAAGACAGAGGAAGGAAAAAGUGAAGGAAAGAGACACAGACUCAAGAGAAAAGAGAAAGGCAUGAGGAAGGACAGGAUCUUUGUAGGAGGGGCUAUGAGGUCGGGGAGAGGAAUCUGGCCAGAAAAGUAACAGUCACCCUAAAAUGCACCUGGGCAGGGAGCUUCCUUCAAGAAGACUGUUUCUCCAUUCAGUGACCCUGAAGGAGAGGGAGAUUUUGGACAAACAAACUUAUUCCAGGCGAGAGACAGCUAUCAUCAGAGAGACCAUUAUUGUCCAUGGUGGUUUAUAGGCCAUAGAUCAUGCUGGUCCAGGUUCCAAGGGAGCAGAUCAAUGUGCAGGAAAGGGACAGGGCACUCAUUCCUUAUUGUCUGAGCACCAAGUGUGUGUCAGAUUUGGGAAACUAUAUAAAAAGACAUAGUUCUGCCCUUAAGGUACUUACAGGCUGGUAGGGGAGGAAGACUGAUGAAUAGAAAAGUAAAAUGUCUUAAUCCUGAGAGGUGAUUAGGUACCAGGUAAGCUCUGAGAUUGCGUCCAGUGAUUCCCUGCCUCUUGGUAUUCACAUCCAUGUGUGAUCCCUUCUUUUUGAACGUGGGUUGGAUUUGCAGACUCAUUUUUAAUGAAUAGCAUAUAGCAGUAGUGAUAGGAUUUCACAUUUGAGAUUGGGUUGUAAAAAGACUGUGACACGUGACACCUCUCUCUCCUUCAUCACUUGCAUUGCAGGAAGCAAGCUGCCACAUUGUGAGCAGUCCCACGCCCCAAGGAGUGGGGAGGAACUGUGCCCUUCCAUAGAACAGCCCAUGAGGAAAUGAAACCUGUCAGCAACCAACCACAUGAGUGAGCUCAGAAGUGGAUCCUUCAGCCCCAAUUGAGUCUUGAGAUGACAGCAGACCCUGCUCACACUUUGAAUGCAACCUCAAGAAAGACCCUUAGGCAGAAGCACCCAGCUAAGCUGCUCCCAGAAACUAACCUGCUGGAGCUGAGAGGUGGAAUACAGCAUAAACCCUGGGGAAGCUGUGCCCAUCUUUCCAGUCCAGGGCUCAAUAUAUUCAAGUUGGUCCUUCUUUGUUUGCUUCCAUCUUCAAGUGGGAUAGUCUCAACCAGGGAAAGCCAUUCCUCUUCCUUGAUUAUCAUCCUUGGAGUAGUGCCCUGGCGCUAUCUGCCCUCACAGUUGCCUGGAGAAGUGAGAGGACCCAGAGGAGUAAGAUGGACCAAAGACUUUUCAAUUUCUGUUGGGGAAGAGGCUAGGAAUUGGGGAUGGUGGCCAAAGAGGGCCUAACUUUAUCAACAAAGUUCUGAUUAUUUAACCAGGAGAAUGUAUUUGUGUGUUAUUAAUGUAAUUAAAAAUUAAGCAAAGAAAUAAGGUGAACACUCUACGUCUUAGACACUAACAUAAAUGGAUGUACUGGAUACAGUAAAAUGCAUCGAACUGAACUAAACCCAAAAGACAAUAAAAACUUUGGUGACUUAUAAGAGAAAA
Equus caballus (horse) is the source of this 2531-nucleotide long non-coding RNA. NCBI's taxonomy places the organism in Eukaryota, Metazoa, Chordata, Mammalia, Perissodactyla, Equidae. The record is from Ensembl.